GGAUAUGUGGCUUAGUGGUAGAGUGCUUGCCUAGCAUGCAUGAAGCCCUGGGUUCGAUUCCUCAGUACCA
This 70-nucleotide transfer RNA is filed under the name Dipodomys ordii (Ord's kangaroo rat). It matches the Rfam family "tRNA". From Rfam's summary of the family: Transfer RNA (tRNA) molecules are approximately 80 nucleotides in length. The record is from Rfam by way of RNAcentral. Lineage: Eukaryota; Metazoa; Chordata; Mammalia; Rodentia; Heteromyidae.